CAGGGUAUGGCGCAGUUGGUAGCGCGCAGCGUUCGGGACGCUGAGGCCGUCGGUUCAAGUCCGAUUACCCUGACCA
This 76-nucleotide transfer RNA is filed under the name Candidatus Saccharimonadota bacterium. RNAcentral describes it as "tRNA-Pro". It matches the Rfam family "tRNA". From Rfam's summary of the family: Transfer RNA (tRNA) molecules are approximately 80 nucleotides in length. Their secondary structure includes four short double-helical elements and three loops (D, anti-codon, and T loops). Further hydrogen bonds mediate the characteristic L-shaped molecular structure. tRNAs have two regions of fundamental functional importance: the anti-codon, which is responsible for specific mRNA codon recognition, and the 3' end, to which the tRNAs corresponding amino acid is attached (by aminoacyl-tRNA synthetases). tRNAs cope with the degeneracy of the genetic code in two manners: having more than one tRNA (with a specific anti-codon) for a particular amino acid; and 'wobble' base-pairing, i.e. permitting non-standard base-pairing at the 3rd anti-codon position. Lineage: Bacteria; Candidatus Saccharimonadota. The record is from RNAcentral.